Helicoverpa armigera (cotton bollworm) is the source of this 723-nucleotide long non-coding RNA. RefSeq lists it as uncharacterized. NCBI's taxonomy places the organism in Eukaryota, Metazoa, Arthropoda, Insecta, Lepidoptera, Noctuidae. The record is from RefSeq and is a predicted model, not a curated record. The transcript is spliced from 2 exons.
GGAUAUAGCAAUUUAACCAUUUAUAAAAAUGUUCAAGAUACAACUAUAUCUUGUACUUGUGCUUGCUUACACCAAUUUAUUACAAUUCAUACAGUAAUACACCAAAAAUAAUUCUAUAAAACUGAGAGUUACUGACAAUUUUCCGUACAAAACUAUAUUUUUUAUCUAUGAAAGUAUAAUCCAAAUUCAAAUAAAACAUAUUUAAUAAUUAAGGUGGUAUUGUUAUAAAGCUUGAAAAAAAAAUUGGUCUAUUUAAAAGUAAAACAAUAUUUUAAAAUAAUUUUUGUUUGCAAUGCAAAAAUCAAUAUAAAUCUUGUGACGCGCGGUGUUCAACUUUAGUCAGCGCCAAGCGCUUAUCGAGGGAGGACGUAUCGCUCGCUGUUGCGCCGCGCAAACUCGCCGGAGCUCGAAAAUAUAGCGCAACCUGCGCAACGAACUCGUUUUGAUACUAGAUAAUGAAAGCAUAUUUAAUUCAGAUUAUCAGACUCAAUCGGAUACCAGUACAAAUAAUAUGGUAAGUAUUUUUUGUCACUCGCAACAGACAUAUUUGUUUUAAUAAACUAUUUACAUUCCUAGUUUUUAUUGUUGCAGGAAAAUGAAGAUACAAUACAUGGAAGACGAAUUAUAGAUUUUAGUUUUUUUAUAAAUCAAUUACUUAUACCUAAUUGAUAAACAUGGUGAAAAGUUUGGUUGUCGAUUAAAUAAUUUAAAAAUUGUAAACGA